GUUAAUGUAGCUUAAAAUUAAAGCAAGGCACUGAAAAUGCCAAGACGAGACAUGAUCUCCAUAAACA
Molecule: transfer RNA, 67 nt
Filed under: Potamogale velox
Lineage: Eukaryota; Metazoa; Chordata; Mammalia; Afrosoricida; Tenrecidae
Description: tRNA-Phe
Rfam family: tRNA
About the family: Transfer RNA (tRNA) molecules are approximately 80 nucleotides in length. Their secondary structure includes four short double-helical elements and three loops (D, anti-codon, and T loops).
Source: RNAcentral